Long non-coding RNA from Hippocampus comes (tiger tail seahorse), 741 nucleotides. RefSeq lists it as uncharacterized. The record is from RefSeq and is a predicted model, not a curated record. The transcript is spliced from 3 exons. NCBI's taxonomy places the organism in Eukaryota, Metazoa, Chordata, Actinopteri, Syngnathiformes, Syngnathidae.
UAUGGAAACUCCUCACAAGAUUCGAGCUGUUCGUGAAAGCCAGAAUCUCUCUCUCGAGUGCUAAGCGCCAAUUUAACAUGCUGCCUGCCUUUGCCUCACUCCCUGCAAUUCAAAUUCGUCCGGAACAGAGAUGGGCAAUUGGUGGCCAACACUCGGAGUGGCCCCAAGAUUAAGUUUUGAACAUUAUAAAUCACCUGAUCUAUUUUUAACUGUAAUAACACUGUUUCCCACAUAUUUGCAGCCAUUACUUAGGAACACUUCCAACUCAUCUCCAUUCGAGAAGAAGAACGUCGAGAUGCUGUCAGCCAUGAUCAAUUUUGUGGCAUUUUAGAGUUACAAAAGCUAAUGGAGACACUUUCAAACUGGAGAGAAUAAGGAGGGUCUAUGAUGUAAUUACCAGGAAAGGGCACAUUCACAUAUACCGCUGAAAGAGCAGGAAGUGAACACAUUGGCUUAGCAUUCAAAGGACCUAACAAUAAAUCAACCAUUGGUGGGCACAUCAGUAAAUUUUGCCGGUCCAUCAUCUGGCCCGCGAGUCAUUCUUCAGUGCCAGGGAGGCUGCGAGCGAGCGCGUUAGCUCCCCCAUAUAGUGCGCCUGCUUGACAGCAAGUCCAAGAUGCCCCGCGUUUCACUGGCCACCCAGUCACAGAGCCCGCCGCCUCAUCAGUAACAUACACUUGUCUCAAAGAUUAAACAAUGCAAGUCUAAGUACACAUGCCCCGUGAAGUGAAACUGCAAUGC